GCGUGGCAUUAGUUAGUUGGUGGGGUAACGGCCCACCAAGGCGACGAUGCCUAGGGGGCCUGAGAGGGUAGUCCCCCACACUGGUACUGAGACACGGACCAGACUCCUACGGGAGGCAGCAGUGAGGAAUAUUGGUCAAUGGGCGCAAGCCUGAACCAGCCAUGCCGCGUGCAGGAUGACGGCCCUACGGGUUGUAAACUGCUUUUGCACGGGAAGAACCUCCCCGACGUGUCGGGGAUUGACUGUACCGUGAGAAUAAGCAUCGGCUAACUCCGUGCCAGCAGCCGCGGUAAUACGGAGGAUGCUAGCGUUAUCCGGAUUUAUUGGGUUUAAAGGGUGCGUAGGCUGGCGGAUAAGUCAGUGGUGAAAUCCUGGCAGCUUAACUGUAGAAUUGCCAUUGAUACUGUUCGUCUUGAGUUCGGUUGAGGUAGGCGGAAUGUGUAAUGUAGCGGUGAAAUGCUUAGAUAUUACACAGAACACCGAUUGCGUAGGCAGCUUACUAAGCCGUUACUGACGCUGAGGCACGAAAGCGUGGGGAGCGAACAGGAUUAGAUACCCUGGUAGUCCACGCCGUAAACGAUGAUCACUAGCUGUUGGCGAUACAUUGUCAGCGGCAAAGCGAAAGCAUUAAGUGAUCCACCUGGGGAGUACGGCCGCAAGGUUGAAACUCAAAGGAAUUGACGGGGGCCCGCACAAGCGGUGGAACAUGUGGUUUAAUUCGAUGAUACGCGAGGAACCUUACCUGGGCUUAAAUGUUGGGUGCAUUCCCGGGAAACCGGGAUUCCCUUCGGGGCUUCCAACAAGGUGCUGCAUGGUUGUCGUCAGCUCGUGCCGUGAGGUGUCGGGUUAAGUCCCAUAACGAGCGCAACCCCUAUCGUUAGUUGCCAUCGGGUCAUGCCGGGGACUCUAGCGAAACUGCCGGUGUAAACCGCGAGGAAGGUGGGGAUGACGUCAAAUCAGCACGGCCCUUAUGUCCAGGGCUACACACGUGUUACAAUGGCCGGUACAGAGGGCAGCUACCUGGUGACAGGGUGCAAAUCUCGAAAGCCGGUCCUAGUUCGGAUUGGAGUCUGCAACUCGACUUCAUGAAGCUGGAAUCGCUAGUAAUCGCGCAUCAGCCAUGGCGCGGUGAUACGUUCCCGGGCCUUGUACACACCGCCCGUCAAGCCAUGGAAGCCGGGGGUACCUGAAGUCUGCAACCGCGAGGAGCGG
RNAcentral lists this ribosomal RNA (1212 nucleotides) under uncultured organism. RNAcentral describes it as "bacterial SSU rRNA". It matches the Rfam family "Bacterial small subunit ribosomal RNA", at positions 233 to 1455 of the family's 1533-position model. The record is from RNAcentral.